Molecule: ribosomal RNA, 468 nt
Filed under: uncultured bacterium
Lineage: Bacteria
Description: partial 16S ribosomal RNA
Rfam family: Bacterial small subunit ribosomal RNA (bases 20-332)
Source: RNAcentral
GACGAACGCUGGCGGCGUGCUUAACACAUGCAAGUCGAACGGAAAGGCCCUGCUUUUGUGGGGUGCUCGAGUGGCGAACGGGUGAGUAACACGUGAGUAACCUGCCCUUGACUUUGGGAUAACUUCAGGAAACUGGGGCUAAUACCGGAUAGGAGCUCCUGCUGCAUGGUGGGGGUUGGAAAGUUUCGGCGGUUGGGGAUGGACUCGCGGCUUAUCAGCUUGUUGGUGGGGUAGUGGCUUACCAAGGCUUUGACGGGUAGCCGGCCUGAGAGGGUGACCGGGGACAGUGGGAAAGAGAGAGGGAGAGGAGGCGGACGGGAGGAAGGAGGGGGGAGGAGGGCGGAGGGGGGGGGAGCUGGAGGCAGCAACGGCGGGUGCGGGAGGACGGGCGUCGGGUGGGAAAAAGAUGUGGCAUGAGAAGAAGGGGGAGGGACGGGAAGGGGUAAGGAAGAAACGGCUAACUAAGUG